GACGAAGGAUGCAAGCGUUAUCCGGAUUCAUUGGGUUUAAAGGGUGCGUGGGCGGACUUGUAAGUCAGUGGUGAAAUCUCUCAGCUUAACUGAGAAACUGCCAUUGAUACUGCAGGUCUUGAGUACAGAUGAUGUUGGCGGAAUAUGACAUGUAGCGGUGAAAUGCAUAGAUAUGUCAUAGAACACCGAUUGCGAAGGCAGCUGACAAAACUGUAACUGACGCUGAGGCACGAAAGUGUGGGGAUCAAACAGG
RNAcentral lists this ribosomal RNA (253 nucleotides) under uncultured bacterium. Its description in RNAcentral is "partial 16S ribosomal RNA". It matches the Rfam family "Bacterial small subunit ribosomal RNA", at positions 524 to 776 of the family's 1533-position model. The record is from RNAcentral.